RNAcentral lists this unclassified non-coding RNA (309 nucleotides) under Hevea brasiliensis (rubber tree). Lineage: Eukaryota; Viridiplantae; Streptophyta; Magnoliopsida; Malpighiales; Euphorbiaceae. The record is from RNAcentral.
CUGCAUCAUGCCAGGUGCAGGACCACCAACGCCACGGACAGGACCCGCAAGACCAGGCUGGGCCUGAACGAGAGGAGCAGUGGGAAUCCCACGGCCAGCUGCGCGGCCAAUGCCGGGGCCAGCAACGGCAGUAGCGGAAACAGCCUUAGCGCGAGACUCUUCAGGAGGAGGGGGGCCCUCAACAGUCAUGGAAAUCACCUCUUCGCCACGGAGAAGAACGAGGCCAAGAGUGCGACGAUCCUCCCGCUCCUCGUUGUUCUUUUUGCCCUUGGCAGGUGGAAGCUUGCGAAACUCCUCGCAGUCUCCGAG